GUGCUCGAUUUGGCAGCACAUAGGCUAAAAUUGGAACGAUACAGAGAAGAUUAGCACGGCCUUUGUGCAAGGAUGACACGCAAAUUCGUGAGGCGCUCCAUAUUUUU
RNAcentral lists this small nuclear RNA (107 nucleotides) under Sciurus vulgaris (Eurasian red squirrel). Lineage: Eukaryota; Metazoa; Chordata; Mammalia; Rodentia; Sciuridae. The record is from RNAcentral.